RNAcentral lists this long non-coding RNA (583 nucleotides) under Malus domestica (apple). RNAcentral describes it as "long non-coding RNA (MDOM_LNC016585)". Lineage: Eukaryota; Viridiplantae; Streptophyta; Magnoliopsida; Rosales; Rosaceae. The record is from RNAcentral.
UACUUUAUUUCUUUAAAAGGAAUGAUUUGGUUACAAAGCCGUAUUACAAAGGUGAGCAUCACACCAACGUCACCACCGAGGAAAGUUGUGACCAAAAGACACUACACAGCAUAAACUCGUUGCAGUCUUUGACACAACCUCACACGGUAAAAAGUGACACACUGGAAUAAGCUCCAAGCAGCAACGGCAAAGAGCCCAUGGCAAGCACCAAGGUUAAUGUGCACACCAACGUCACCACCAAGGAAAGUUGUGACCAAAAGACACUACACAGCACAAACUCGCUGCAGUCUUUGACAUAACCUCACACGGUAAAAGUGACACACUGGAACAAGCUCCAAGCAGUAGGACGACAAACAGUGCAACAAGGACGGUGGGCAGUGCAAUGAUGCGCAACGAAUAAUGCAACGACAGUGGUGCAGCAAGCACGGCAAAAAGGCAACUACAAGACGGUCCUUCAAAGCACACUACAGUAGCAAAGAAACCAAAAUGCUACGCAACCCCGCAGUUGUUACGCAAGCAGUUUCUUGCACUACACGGCGACGUCACCAUCAAAGGAAGAAAUGUGACCAAAAGGCAUUACACA